This 309-nucleotide ribosomal RNA is filed under the name uncultured bacterium. RNAcentral describes it as "bacterial SSU rRNA". It matches the Rfam family "Bacterial small subunit ribosomal RNA", at positions 28 to 337 of the family's 1533-position model. The record is from RNAcentral.
GACGAACGCUGGCGGCGUGCUUAAACACAUGCAAAGUCGAGCGGUAAGGCCCUUUCGGGGGUACACGAGCGGCGAACGGGUGAGUAACACGUGGGUGACCUGCCCUCAGCUCUGGGAUAAGCCUGGGAAACUGGGUCUAAUACUGGAUAUGACUCCACGGUGCAUGUCGUGGGGUGGAAAGCCUUGUGCGGCUGAGGAUGGGCCCGCGGCCUAUCAGCUUGUUGGUGGGGUGAUGGCCUACCAAGGCGACGACGGUAGCCGGCCUGAGAGGGCGACCGGCCACACUGGGACUGAGACACGGCCCAGACU